GAAGAACGUAGCGAAAUGCGAUAAGUAAUGUGAAUUGCAGAAUUCAGUGAAUCAUCGAAUCUUUGAACGCACAUUGCGCCCCCUGGUAUUCCGGGGGGCAUGCCUGUCCGAGCGUCAUUACAACCCUCAAGCUCAGCUUGGUGUUGGGCCCCGCCGCCCCGGCGGGCCCUAAAGUCAGUGGCGGUGCCGUCCGGCUCCGAGCGUAGUAAUUCUUCUCGCUCUGGAGGUCCGGUCGUGUGCUCGCCAGCAACCCCCAAUUUUUUUCAGGUUGACCUCGGAUCAGGUAGGGAUACCCGCUGAACUUAAGCAUAUCAAUAAGCGGAGGA
This 326-nucleotide unclassified non-coding RNA is filed under the name soil metagenome. RNAcentral's name for it is "partial contains 5.8S ribosomal RNA, internal transcribed spacer 2, and large subunit ribosomal RNA". The stretch from base 1 to 117 matches the Rfam family "5.8S ribosomal RNA", at positions 38 to 154 of the family's 154-position model. The record is from RNAcentral.